CAUUAUUUAUUAUUAUGUAUAUGUUGUUUAUUAUGAUUUAGCAAUGAAUUUUUAGUGUUGGCUAAGUUUGUGCCAGCAGUCGCGGUUAUACAUUAAGCACUAUUGAACAUUUUCGGUUAUGCAGUUUGAUGUUGUAUAUUUGUUAUUAACUUUAUUUAUUUGAAUAUUUGGGGUGGAAUUAAUAAAUUCUUUUUUGUUGUUAUUUAUAUUAUUGUAGGCUGUGAAAUCUUUAUUUUAGACUAGGAUUAGAUACCCUAUUAUUUUUGAUGUUAAAGUUGUUGGCCUGGGUAGUAUUAGAUAUGUUCUUGAAAUCUAAAGAAUUUGGCGGUAUUCUAUUCCUUUCAGAGGAAUCUGCCCUGUAAUCGACAAUCCGCGCUGGACCUUACUUAUUUUUUUUUGUUUGUAUACCUCCGUUAUAAUGAAGAUCUUUUUAGUGUUUUAAUUUUCUGGCUUCUUAUAUUAUGGAUUUAUUUCAGGUCAAGGUGCAGCUUGUUUUUAAGUUUGAGGUGGAUUACAUUAUGUUGAUGAUUAUUGAAUUAUUAAUUGUAAUUGUUUUUAUGAAAUUGGAUUUGGUUGUAAUUUGUUGAAGAUUGUUUUGAUGAUAUUGGUUCUGGAAUAUGUACACAUCGCCCGUCGCUCUCAUUUAUUUGUUGAGAUAAGUCGUAACAAAGUGGUCGUACCGGAAGGUGUGGCUGGAUUGAU
This 702-nucleotide non-coding RNA is filed under the name Glyptotermes angustus. The record is from RNAcentral. Lineage: Eukaryota; Metazoa; Arthropoda; Insecta; Blattodea; Kalotermitidae.